RNAcentral lists this ribosomal RNA (119 nucleotides) under Octopus vulgaris (common octopus). RNAcentral also lists the same sequence under 1 other name. The record is from RNAcentral. Lineage: Eukaryota; Metazoa; Mollusca; Cephalopoda; Octopoda; Octopodidae.
GCUUACGGCCAUAUCAUGUUGAAAGCACCGGUUCUCGUCUGACCACUGAAGUUAAGCAACAUCGAGCCUAGUUAGUACUUAGAUGGGUGACCGCUUGCGAAACCUAAGUGCUGUAAGCA